CCUUUUGUAUAAUGGGUCAGCGACUUAUAUUCUGUAGCAAGGUUAACCGAAUAGGGGAGCCGAAGGGAAACCGAGUCUUAACUGGGCGUUAAGUUGCAGGGUAUAGACCCGAAACCCGGUGAUCUAGCCAUGGGCAGGUUGAAGGUUGGGUAACACUAACUGGAGGACCGAACCGACUAAUGUUGAAAAAUUAGCGGAUGACUUGUGGCUGGGGGUGAAAGGCCAAUCAAACCGGGAGAUAGCUGGUUCUCCCCGAAAGCUAUUUAGGUAGCGCCUCGUGAAUUCAUCUCCGGGGGUAGAGCACUGUUUCGGCAAGGGGGUCAUCCCGACUUACCAACCCGAUGCAAACUGCGAAUACCGGAGAAUGUUAUCACGGGAGACACACGGCGGGUGCUAACGUCCGUCGUGAAGAGGGAAACAACCCAGACCGCCAGCUAAGGUCCCAAAGUCAUGGUUAAGUGGGAAACGAUGUGGGAAGGCCCAGACAGCCAGGAUGUUGGCUUAGAAGCAGCCAUCAUUUAAAGAAAGCGUAAUAGCUCACUGGUCGAGUCGGCCUGCGCGGAAGAUGUAACGGGGCUAAACCAUGCACCGAAGCUGCGGCAGCGACGCUGAUGCGUUGUUGGGUAGGGGAGCGUUCUGUAAGCCUGCGAAGGUGUGCUGUGAGGCAUGCUGGAGGUAUCAGAAGUGCGAAUGCUGACAUAAGUAACGAUAAAGCGGGUGAAAAGCCCGCUCGCCGGAAGACCAAGGGUUCCUGUCCAACGUUAAUCGGGGCAGGGUGAGUCGACCCCUAAGGCGAGGCCGAAAGGCGUAGUCGAUGGGAAACAGGUUAAUAUUCCUGUACUUGGUGUUACUGCGAAGGGGGGACGGAGAAGGCUAUGUUGGCCGGGCGACGGUUGUCCCGGUUUAAGCGUGUAGGCUGGUUUUCCAGGCAAAUCCGGAAAAUCAAGGCUGAGGCGUGAUGACGAGGCACUACGGUGCUGAAGCAACAAAUGCCCUGCUUCCAGGAAAAGCCUCUAAGCAUCAGGUAACAUCAAAUCGUACCCCAAACCGACACAGGUGGUCAGGUAGAGAAUACCAAGGCGCUUGAGAGAACUCGGGUGAAGGAACUAGGCAAAAUGGUGCCGUAACUUCGGGAGAAGGCACGCUGAUAUGUAGGUGAAGCGACUUGCUCGUGGAGCUGAAAUCAGUCGAAGAUACCAGCUGGCUGCAACUGUUUAUUAAAAACACAGCACUGUGCAAACACGAAAGUGGACGUAUACGGUGUGACGCCUGCCC
This 1275-nucleotide ribosomal RNA is filed under the name Escherichia coli. Its description in RNAcentral is "partial 23S ribosomal RNA". It matches the Rfam family "Bacterial large subunit ribosomal RNA", at positions 604 to 1864 of the family's 2925-position model. Lineage: Bacteria; Pseudomonadati; Pseudomonadota; Gammaproteobacteria; Enterobacterales; Enterobacteriaceae. The record is from RNAcentral.